Long non-coding RNA from Condylura cristata (star-nosed mole), 489 nucleotides. RefSeq lists it as uncharacterized. The transcript is spliced from 3 exons. The record is from RefSeq and is a predicted model, not a curated record. Lineage: Eukaryota; Metazoa; Chordata; Mammalia; Eulipotyphla; Talpidae.
GGGGAGGCGCGGCGAGGAGAGGGAGGGAAGCUGAGGAGGAGGGGCGAGCGGGUGAACCGAGGACCGCGGGGAGGGAAGACCCGGCGCCCUCGGCAGCUCCCACCGCCGCUCCCAGCCAGAGCGAUGUCCCGUGCGGCGGCGCUGGGAAGGACCUGAGGCCCCCGCCGGCUCCGGCGAAGCAGCGGCUGCUGUGAAGCCCGGGCCCCGCUCUCUCGAGCGAAUAAUCAGCUUAUCAUGCUCCUGAAGAUGGUGUUGGUGCUGAAGAUAAUUACUGCAAAAAAUCAAGCCACGUAAAGCCAAAGUAUCUCCAACUAUGAAUGGAUAGAGAAACUGUGGAACAGAAAUCUGAUGAAAUAUCACACAGCUCUGAAAAAAGAUGCCACCAAAAGUGGUAACAUUUGGCACAAAAUGGAUGACCUUGAGGUGAUUAUGUUGAAUGAAAUCAGUCAAAAAGUGAAAGACAGGACCCUUCCUGGUGGCACAGCUGGU